UAAAACAGUAGGCAGAGGUGACUUUCUAGUUUAGGAGGAACUAGAGCAACGAGAGGGUGUUUUUAGUCGUGUGAUCCGGGACUGAACAAACAGUAAGGGAAAUAACGAUGCUUUCAGCGCAACUCGCAAUUAUCUUGGUGUGGAUGGUGAGCUAUGUUCUAGCAGGCUAUCUGUACGACAAUACUCUAUACUCUGGCUACAGAGAUCCCUACGAACCAGUAUACGGUCAUGGUAGGUCCUAUGGGUUUGGCUUUGGAGUAGGAUAUGGCUUUCAGCCCGAGGUUGCCGCAAACGACCCUGUUCUUCUUGGACACUACUAAUGCUUUACGGAAAAAUCCAGUUUUCUGGUCAGCAAGUUGACUACUGUUUCAGAGAAAACCAGAAUUUGCUAUGAAACUAAGUGUGGAUAAAUAUUUGAUGAAGU
Limulus polyphemus (Atlantic horseshoe crab) is the source of this 424-nucleotide long non-coding RNA. RefSeq lists it as uncharacterized. NCBI's taxonomy places the organism in Eukaryota, Metazoa, Arthropoda, Merostomata, Xiphosura, Limulidae. The transcript is spliced from 3 exons. The record is from RefSeq and is a predicted model, not a curated record.